GUAAAAAGCAGAGGUGAUCAACUCAUCCAUUCAGUCUAUGCCACCAGUCAACAUGAUUGUGUCAAAUAUACAGAACAGUGGCCAUUUUAUUAGAACCUAUACAACUCUGCCUCAAAAUUAUUCCAAAAUUCUGUUUCCAUGCUAUAUGAGAAAGUGACACUUCCAAAGAUUUACAACCCUCGUUGACAGGAUUUGUCAGUAUUUCCAGCUUGUUGAAUACCUGAAGACAAAAGAGGCUGUGGAAGCAAAUCCAACCAGGGCAAGUUGUGCAAUUCCAGCAUUCAUUUCAAGAGGACGAAAAUCUAAAAGCAAGGAUUUGAGCUCAGUAUGGCAUUUGUUCUGCCCAAGACUACAAGAUAUUGCAGAGAAUUGUGAACACAGCCCAGAACAUCACACAAACUGGCCACCACUCCUCUGAUGCCAUUUAACAUUUCUGCAGCCUUGGGAAAGAAGUCAACAUUGUCAACGAUCCCACCAACGCCAGCCGUUCUCUCUUCUCACCUGCCUGUCCCAUCGGGCAAUGGUUUGGUUCACAAGCCACCAGGCUCAAGGACUGUGUCUAUCCUGCGUUAACAGACACUUGAAUGGACCUCUCAUCAUAAAGAUGCUGUUAUGUGUGAAAAUCCCCGGAGAUCAGCAGCUACUGGGAUACUCAAACCACUCUGUCAGGCACCAACUAUCAUUCCAUGGUCAAAGUCACACCGAUGUGAAUUUUCUCCCCAUUUUGAUGUUUGGCCAGAACCAGCA
This is a long non-coding RNA of Hypanus sabinus (Atlantic stingray), 747 nucleotides long. RefSeq lists it as uncharacterized. Lineage: Eukaryota; Metazoa; Chordata; Chondrichthyes; Myliobatiformes; Dasyatidae. The record is from RefSeq and is a predicted model, not a curated record. The transcript has 4 exons.